This 1019-nucleotide ribosomal RNA is filed under the name uncultured bacterium. Its description in RNAcentral is "bacterial SSU rRNA". It matches the Rfam family "Bacterial small subunit ribosomal RNA", at positions 28 to 1043 of the family's 1533-position model. The record is from RNAcentral.
GACGAACGCUGGCGGCGUGCUUAAUACAUGCAAGUCGAGCGAGGUUACUGUUUUGGAUCCCUUCGGGGUGAAGAAGCUUUAACCUAGCGGCGGACGGGUGAGUAACGCGUGGGUAACCUACCCCAAAGUCCGGGAUAACAGCGGGAAACCGCUGCUAAUACCGGAUGCCUUUACCUUGGGGCAUCUUGAGGUAAAGAAAGGCAACGCUUUGGGAUGGGCCCGCGUCCCAUUAGCUAGUUGGUGAGGUAACGGCUCACCAAGGCGACGAUGGGUAGCCGGCCUGAGAGGGUGGACGGCCACACUGGGACUGAGACACGGCCCAGACUCCUACGGGAGGCAGCAGUAGGGAAUAUUGCGCAAUGGACGGAAGUCUGACGCAGCGACGCCGCGUGAGCGAUGAAGGUCUUCGGAUCGUAAGCUCUGUCCUUGGGGAAGAAGGCGAAAGCUUGACGGUACCCAAGAAGAAAGCCUCCGGCUAACUACGUGCCAGCAGCCGCGGUAAUACGUAGGGGGCGAGCGUUGUCCGGAAUUACUGGGCGUAAAGGGUGCGUAGGCGGCCCUUUAAGUCGGAUGUGAAAGCCCGCGGCUUAACCGCGGAAUGGCAUUCGAAGCUGGAGGGCUUGAGUGUCGGAGAGGGUAGUGGAGUUCCCAGUGUAGCGGUGAAAUGCGUAGAUAUUGGGAGGAACACCAGUGGCGAAGGCGACUACCUGGACGAUAACUGACGCUGAGGCACGAAAGCUAGGGGAGCAAACAGGAUUAGAUACCCUGGUAGUCCUAGCCGUAAACGAUGGGUACUAGGUGUGGGUGGUUUCGAUACCAUCCGUGCCGUAGUUAACGCAUUAAGUACCCCGCCUGGGGAGUACGUGCGCAAGCAUGAAACUCAAAGGAAUUGACGGGGACCCGCACAGCGGUGGAGCAUGUGGUUUAAUNNAAGCAACGCGAAAAACUUACCUGCUCUUGACAUCCCACUGACAGGUCAGUAAUGUGACCCUUUCUCGNANCAGUGGAAACAGGUGGUG